RNAcentral lists this unclassified non-coding RNA (425 nucleotides) under uncultured Inocybe. RNAcentral's name for it is "sequence contains ITS2". The stretch from base 1 to 154 matches the Rfam family "5.8S ribosomal RNA". Lineage: Eukaryota; Fungi; Basidiomycota; Agaricomycetes; Agaricales; Cortinariaceae. The record is from RNAcentral.
AACUUUCAACAACGGAUCACUGGGCUCUCGCAUCGAUGAAGAACGCAGCGAAAUGCGACAAGUAAUGUGAAUUGCAGAAUUCAGUGAAUCAUCGAAUCUUUGAACGCAUCUUGCGCUCCUUGGUAUUCCGAGGAGCAUGCCUGUUUGAGUGUCAUUUGUCCUUCUCAACCACAUCGUUCUUGUUUUGACUGUGUGUGGCUUGGAUGUGGGGGGAGUAAUUUUAUUUUUUGCAGGCUUCAAAUCAAGAAGCCAGCUCCCCUGAAGUGAAUUAGUGGUGUCUGAGCUGCUAUUGGUGUGAUAAAUUAUCUAUGCCUUUGGUGAUGCUGGUCAGCACCGCUUAUAACGGACGGUGAUCAUUUGACAAAUUUGACCUCAAAUCAGGUAGGACUACCCGCUGAACUUAAGCAUAUCAAUAAGCGGAGGCU